CCUCAACCUCAUGGUUCCUAGUUGUAUUCGUUAACCACUGCGCCACAAUGGGAACUCCUUUGUCACCAAUUUUUAAAAAUCGAUUUUUCACUUAAAAAUCUAGUAGCAGCCCCUCUACUAAGGAGGUGGAGGCCUCGAGCAAGCAGUCAAGGUGGAGGCAGGAGGAGCUGGCCUCUUCCUGCCUCGCUCAGUGAACUGGGACAUUCCAUCUCAUCUCCUGCCCCUGGAGUGGACUCGACACCACCAGCUGCCUCAGCCCUCACACUGAACCAUGCCUUCAGCUUUCCCGGGUCCCUGUUUCUGGCACAGAGCCCCUCAACCCUUGGAAUUUCCUAACAGAUGAGAGGGAAGGUGCUGAGGUCAGUGGUGUUACGUGCAUUCACAUCGUGGGGCAGUGCCAUCAUCAUGGUCUUCAGAAUGCUUCAUCUUCUCCAACUGAAUCUGUGUCUUUGUUACCCAGUAACUCUCCCCGCCCCCGGCCCCAGCAUCUACUUCUUGUCCCUGUGAGUCUGCGUGCUCUUGGGACCUUAUGGAAAUGGAUCAAUGCAGUGUUUCUUUUUUCAGGACUGCCUUAUUUCACUUGGUAUAUUGUCCUCAAUGUCCAUUCAAGUUGUCCCAUGUAUCAGUAUUUCCUUCUUUUUAAAGACUGAAUAAUAUUCUGCUGUAUCCAUAAAUCACAUUCUUUAUCACUCA
This is a long non-coding RNA of Sus scrofa (pig), 693 nucleotides long. RefSeq lists it as uncharacterized. Lineage: Eukaryota; Metazoa; Chordata; Mammalia; Artiodactyla; Suidae. The record is from RefSeq and is a predicted model, not a curated record.